This 637-nucleotide long non-coding RNA is filed under the name Carica papaya (papaya). RNAcentral's name for it is "long non-coding RNA (CPAP_LNC004965)". Lineage: Eukaryota; Viridiplantae; Streptophyta; Magnoliopsida; Brassicales; Caricaceae. The record is from RNAcentral.
UUCCUGCCACAACCAGUUAUGCAAGCAAGGUGCAGGGGCUGUUGCAGGAGUGGUUACUGCAGGGGCCUUCUUCUUAGCCCUGUUCGGCGGUGCUCUUUUCUGGGUUUACAACAAGAAAUUCCAAAAUGUAAAAAAAUCAGAAUCUUUUGCAUCUGAUAUAAUCAAAAUGCCGAAAGAAUUCACCUACAAGGAGCUGAGAUCCGCUACCAAAUGCUUCAAUGCGAAUAGAAUAAUCGGCCAUGGCGCAUUCGGGACUGUCUACAAGGGUAUUUUAACAGAGACCGGCGACAUUGUUGCAGUAAAAAGAUGCAGCCAUAGUACGCAAGGCAAGAACGAGUUUCUCUCAGAAUUAUCAAUAAUCGGAGGUCUUCGCCAUCGAAAUCUGGUAAGACUUCAAGGAUGGUGCCAUGAAAAAGGUGAAAUUCUAUUAGUUUAUGAUUUAAUGCCAAAUGGGUCCCUCGACAAAGCUUUAUUCGAAGCAAGAACACCUCUCCCAUGGACUCACAGACAAAAAAUAUUACUGGGUGUAGCAUCAGCUCUAGCUUACUUACACCAAGAAUGUGAAAACCAGGUGAUCCACAGAGAUGUAAAGAGCAGCAACAUAAUGUUAGACGAAGGAUUCAAUGCUCGUUUAGGU